GAUGGUGAGAGCCAGUCCGGAAGAUGCAGUUCUUGCCCUUGAGUCCAUUGGCUUAACUCUGAAAGGCGACCUGGAGUGAAGGAACCAUUCUUUGGGCAAUCAUCUCCUGAAUCCUGCCCUCCUCACAGACACUGGGACACUGCAGAUCCCUCAACACCUUGAGGCCACCAACAAGGGAGUAAAUGACAUGAGAAGACUGUCAAUGCACAUGUUCAUCCACUGUCCCUCCUGCCUCCAGUCCUCAUUACACAGAGCUGACCCUGUGGCCCAUGACUGGCAUCUGCGCUCUGCUUUCCUAUUGCAGAGACCCCGUGAGCACCCGCCACGCCCAGGCCCUGUGCAUCACUCCUCUAUGUAACAGGAGCAGGCAUGCAGAGUCCCUGCUCUCAAAAGACUCAUCUUUAGGGACUGCAUGGGAGACAGAAGACAAAAUUGAAAAUAGAAAACAGAGAUGGUAGAGUGCAGCGUGCUGUAACGUCCAUGAGCAGAGGGAAGGAGAGGCAUGGAGGGGAAGGGACAGCUGCUUCGUCACAGGCCACCAGGAGCAUUCGUGUGAUGCUCCACAGUUUCUUCAAUCCCAUUUCAUUUUCUUCUUCUUCCAUCAUAUUUAAGCAAAGUUAAAUUUAUUGUGCUGUAGUUGAAAA
Molecule: long non-coding RNA, 644 nt
Organism: Callithrix jacchus (white-tufted-ear marmoset)
Lineage: Eukaryota; Metazoa; Chordata; Mammalia; Primates; Cebidae
Source: RefSeq, a predicted model, not a curated record